AGGAACCGCCGGGGGCCAUGGACGGAGCAGUGAUGGAAGGGCCGCUCUUUUUGCAGAGUCAGCGCUUUGGGACCAAGAGGUGGAGGAAGACCUGGGCCGUGCUCUACCCGGCCAGUCCCCACGGCGUAGCGCGGCUCGAGUUCUUUGACCAUAAGGGGUCGAGCUCUGGGGGUGGCCGAGGGAGCUCGCGCCGCCUGGACUGCAAAGUGAUCCGUCUGGCUGAGUGUGUGAGUGUGGCCCCCGUCAUCGUGGAGACCCCCCCUGAGCCCGGCGCCACUGCCUUCCGCCUGGACACUGCUCAGCGCUCGCACCUGCUGGCGGCCGACGCGCCGUCCAGUGCAGCCUGGGUGCAGACCCUGUGCCGAAACGCCUUUCCGGUGAGGAGCUGCGGCGAUGCGGGGUGGAGGCAGUUACAGAAGCAGAGAAAUGGGGCUGCCUCAGACCGACCCCCGCUCCCCGCUGAGGAAAUUACGGGUUUCUCGAUGCUCUCUCUCUACUACAGAAAGGCAGCUGGACUCUGGCGCCUACCGAUAACCCACCUAAGCUUUCUGCCCUGGAGAUGCU
RNAcentral lists this small RNA (564 nucleotides) under Pan troglodytes (chimpanzee). Its description in RNAcentral is "retained intron". Lineage: Eukaryota; Metazoa; Chordata; Mammalia; Primates; Hominidae. The record is from RNAcentral.